RNAcentral lists this ribosomal RNA (468 nucleotides) under uncultured bacterium. RNAcentral's name for it is "partial 16S ribosomal RNA". It matches the Rfam family "Bacterial small subunit ribosomal RNA", at positions 28 to 507 of the family's 1533-position model. The record is from RNAcentral.
GACGAACGCUGGCGGCGUGCUUAACACAUGCAAGUCGAACGGAAAGGCCCUGCUUUUGUGGGGUGCUCGAGUGGCGAACGGGUGAGUAACACGUGAGUAACCUGCCCUUGACUUUGGGAAAACUUCAGGAAACUGGGGCUAAUACCGGAUAGGAGCUCCUGCUGCAUGGUGGGGGUUGGAAAGUUUCGGCGGUUGGGGAUGGACUCGCGGCUUAUCAGCUUGUGGGUGGGGUAGUGGCUUACCAAGGCUUUGACGGGUAGCCGGCCUGAGAGGGUGACCGGCCACAUUGGGACUGAGAUACGGCCCAGCCUCCUACGGGAGGCAGCAGUGGGGAAUAUUGCACAAUGGGCGGAAGCCUGAUGCAGCACCGCCGCGUGCGGGAUGACGGCCUUGGGGUUGUAAACCGCUUUCGCCUGUGACGAAGCGUGAGUGACGGUAAUGGGUAAAGAAGCACCGGCUAACUACGUG